GUGUCAGCAGCCGCGGUAAUACGUAGGGGGCGAGCGUUGUCCGGAUUCAUUGGGCGUAAAGAGCUCGUAGGCGGCUUGCUAAGUCGGGUGUGAAACCCCCAGGCUCAACCUGGGGCCGCCACCUGAUACUGGUAUGGCUGGAGUCCGGUAGGGGACCAUGGAAUUCCUGGUGUAGCGGUGAAAUGCGCAGAUAUCAGGAGGAACACCGAUGGCGAAGGCAGUGGUCUGGGCCGGUACUGACGCUGAGGAGCGAAAGCGUGGGGAGCGAACAGGAUUAGAAACCCUGGUAGUCC
RNAcentral lists this ribosomal RNA (293 nucleotides) under uncultured bacterium. RNAcentral's name for it is "partial 16S ribosomal RNA". It matches the Rfam family "Bacterial small subunit ribosomal RNA", at positions 505 to 796 of the family's 1533-position model. The record is from RNAcentral.